This 82-nucleotide non-coding RNA is filed under the name Legionella shakespearei DSM 23087. RNAcentral's name for it is "Legionella RNA 69". It matches the Rfam family "Legionella RNA 69". The record is from Rfam by way of RNAcentral. Lineage: Bacteria; Pseudomonadati; Pseudomonadota; Gammaproteobacteria; Legionellales; Legionellaceae.
AGACAGCGCUAUCGCGCUUCCUCAGCCCGAACGGCAUCGAAGUAACGACUGGAUAAAACAAGCGUCUCAUCGAUAACGUUAA